This 427-nucleotide ribosomal RNA is filed under the name uncultured bacterium. RNAcentral's name for it is "partial 16S ribosomal RNA". It matches the Rfam family "Bacterial small subunit ribosomal RNA", at positions 355 to 774 of the family's 1533-position model. The record is from RNAcentral.
UGGGGAAUAUUGCACAAUGGGCGCAAGCCUGAUGCAGCCAUGCCGCGUGUAUGAAGAAGGCCUUCGGGUUGUAAAGUACUUUCAGCGGGGAGGAAGGCGAUAAGGUUAAUAACCUUGUCGAUUGACGUUACCCGCAGAAGAAGCACCGGCUAACUCCGUGCCAGCAGCCGCGGUAAUACGGAGGGUGCAAGCGUUAAUCGGAAUUACUGGGCGUAAAGCGCACGCAGGCGGUCUGUCAAGUCGGAUGUGAAAUCCCCGGGCGCAACCUGGGAACGGCAUUCGAAACUGGCAGGCUAGAGUCUUGUAGAGGGGGGUAGAAUUCCAGGUGUAGCGGUGAAAUGCGUAGAGAUCUGGAGGAAUACCGGUGGCGAAGGCGGCCCCCUGGACAAAGACUGACGCUCAGGUGCGAAAGCGUGGGGAGCAAACA